Molecule: long non-coding RNA, 572 nt
Filed under: Amborella trichopoda
Lineage: Eukaryota; Viridiplantae; Streptophyta; Magnoliopsida; Amborellales; Amborellaceae
Description: long non-coding RNA (ATRI_LNC003492)
Source: RNAcentral
AAAAUUCUAAAAUCCUCUUUCUAAUCUUCAGUCUAUCUCUCUCUUCUUUUUAAAGUAGCUAUUCCUUUAUUUUCAUUGAAUUUAUGAGCAAAAUGUUCGAAUUGUUGGGUUGCGUGUCUGUGCGUUCCUUCAUAAAUACGCCCGCCUCUUGCUCCUCUUAUUCUCCAUCAGGACCCACCUCUUUCUCUCUCUACCUUUCUCUCUCUUGUUUUUCUCUUUCCGUUUGUUCUCCUCUCUCUCUCUCUCUCUCUCUUGUUUUUCGCACUACUCAAGAUUUAACCCCACUCAGUGUUGCUUUAUCUUUCAUCUUUCUCGUGAUUUCUCUCUCUACACCUGUCCUCUGAUUCUCUCGAAGGGUUUAAUCUCUCUCUCUCUAACUUCCGAUAGCUUCCGAGUUUGGUGUUUAUCGCUCUCUAACUUGAAGGUUUGAUCACUUUUCCUUUUUCCAAAUUUCACGUCUGUAUCCCUUUCUCUCUCUUCCGAUAUAUCAUCUCUCUAAAAUUUUUGCGGUUAAUCUCUCUCCUCUACCUGAAUUGCGCUCUGAUAUCUCUGUCAAAAACUUCCGGUUCAAG